UAUAUAAUGCAGUGAUAAUUAGACAAAUAAGGCUUAUACUGAGUCAAUACCCACCAUUGAAAUUCCCUAUGUCAACAAGUCACGUUGCAAUUUCAAGCAGGGGGCGACCUCUGCUAUUCACCCUGGGAUUGAUCACCGAGGAAAAGGGCGGGGCCACAUACACCUGAAGCCCCACCCACCCCGCACCCCUUUAUAAAGCACUUGGCUUGUUCCUGCAGUCUGACCCUCCUCUCCUCGGUGACAGGUCUCAACAUCACCCCUCCGCCCAAUGGUAUCGCCCGGCCCCGCGCCGUUCCACCCCCACCGCUCCCGCUCAGUGGUCGCGCCCGCGCUUCCUACCCAAACAUGGCGGCGGGAGGCGGUUGCCAACGGCGACAACCGGCUGCACUUGUAUCCUUUGGUGGAUGGACUUCGACCGCAUGCGUCGGGACGACGGAAGAACUGAAGGAAUUUAGGACUAGGGCGGGUUAAAGGCCGAGCCACCCCGACAGGAAAUCAGGUGCUGGUGGGAGAUGCAGUGUUUUUGUACGGCGCGCAUGCGCUUCGCUUGGAGCCUGCUGGGGAAUGUAGUCUUAUUGGCUUUUCUCUGUUGCUGACUCUUUUGAGCACCAGAUGAAGAUUUCAUUUCUGCACACACGUUGCCGCGGAGGCUCCUGAACAAUGUGGUCUAAACUGGGAUAUUGCUUACAGGAUCUAAGAAGGCCAGUAUAUGUUCCCCAUCGCUAAUUGUCCUUCAAAAAAGAUCGGGGUCAUGCCACACCCUUUAAUCGACAGUCUGAUGAAACGGGCUGCAGGGUUCAGAGCCAGUGACGGCUUAUAGAUUUGGGAGAGCAGGAGAGGCACCAGGGUUAGGAGGAGAUGUAGUCGAAGUUGCCCGGGCGAGGAAACGAUGUGAACUCUGCAGACACACGCUAUCCGCCAGUGGUGAAGAGAGAUGUCUGGGGGCACGGAUGGGAUGCCAAACGAGGACUGGAUGGUGUUGGCCUUCUGUACAGUUGUCGGACCUUGGCAGGUGGGGAUUGUCCUGUCACACUCCUGAGCUGUAGAUCACGGAGAAGGGAAUGUAGUGAUGUGGAAUGCAGAGUCUAACUCCAGCCAGGGAAGUUAACAUCACACUCCUGACCGGUGGGAAGGCCCGGGAGGUGAGUCACCCACAUCAGGACUCCACCCCCUCCACAACCAUCCUGCUUCUGCGCUGGCAAGGAGCUUCCAGUCAGCUUCCAGCACACGGCGUGAGCGGCGUGGGGUGGGGGCACAGGAACACGGCCCCGUUGCCCUCGCCAUUUUUUUUGUAAUUUAUUUUUUAUUGAAGUUCAUCAUCAAACAAACAUUUCCAUAAGAGGUAUUUCAGGUACUGUACAUAUAUAUCAUAUAAUCAUAUAUGUCACAAAUCUCCACAUAAUAUUUAUCUUAGAGGAAACAAAGAACAAGCGACAGGAGAAAACUAUGUUCAAGUGGGGAGUGAUCUUUUUUUACAACAUAUUCAUUGAUUUGUGAGGAUAAAAUCGGGCCUAUGAGGCAUUAUGUAGUUAAAUCAUUUUCCCAGUAUGAAUUAAAUUGUUCCAACUUAUGAUUAACAGAUGCUGUUAUCUUCUCCAUGUUGUAAACAUCCAUUGUAAUUUCCAUCCAUGUAUUUAAGGUUGGGCUCUCCUGUGAUAACCAUUUCCUAGUAAGAGUCUUUUUUACCAGUCACCAACAGUAUAUUCAUUAAAUAUUUAUCUCUUUACAACCAUUCUUGAGGUAUAUAUCCAAAAUAUAUGGUCUUACUCUCUAAAGGUAUUUCACAUCUAAAGAUGUCUUGUAGGGCAUUGUGUAUCCCACUCCAAUAGUCUUUGAUAACGGUGCAUUCCCAGAAAAUAUGAUAAUGAUUUGCAUUUUGAUUUCCACAAUUUCUCCAGCAAACAGGGAUAUUACUAUCAUAAUGGGAUUUCUGAGAGGGUGUAAUAAAAUAUCUUAAUAAGUUUUUCCAUCCGAACUCCCUCCAUUUCUGUGAACUGGUACACUUCUAUUGAUACCUCCAUAUUGUUGUCCAUUCUUCCUCAGAUAUAAUUAUCCCUCCUUCCUUCUCCCAUUUUGUUUUAAUGUAUGAAGUCGAAUAUAUUUUAAGAUUUGACAAACCCUUAUACAUGCUUGAAAUUAUUCUACCACCGUUAUUUGAAUUAUACACUUUUCUAAAUAGCUCUAUCAAGCAUGUACUUGCCUUGGUUACAUUUUUAACUGUCCUAUUAACAUAUUGUCACAAACCCUUAUACAUACUUGAAAUUAUUCUACCACCGUUAUUUGAAUUAUAUACUUUUCUAAAUAGCUCUAUCAAGCAUGUACUUGCCUUGGUUACAUUUUUAACCAUCCUAUUAACAUAUUGUCACAUCUGUAAAUACCAAUAAAAAUAUUGUUUUUCUAAUGUGUUUCUCUUUAAGCAUCUGAAAACUGAACAGUGUUCCUUCUUUUAUUCUUUUGCAAAGAACUGUUGUUCCUUUAGCUGUCCAGUCCUUAAAUCUAGCAUCCAAUUUAUUUGGCGUGAAAUCCGAGUCAUGAAUGCCAUUUAAGAAUUGCAAUGUCUCCCUCUAGUUUAUAUUCUUUCAUAAUAGUUUUCCAUAUUUUAAGAGUCCAUUUCACCUAUGGGUUAUCAAUAGUAUUUAUGUACCUUUGUAGGUUGUUAUCAGCCAAAAUUGCCUGUAUAGGGAUGGGAAGUACCCGCUCCUCAAUGUUUUACCAUUGAGCGUCAUAUGAUAGGAUACACCAACAUAUCACAGCUCUCAACCGUGCUGCAAAAUAAUGAUCUCUAGGAGAAGGUAGGCCCCAUCCCCCCUUUUCCUUGGCUAAUUGCAAAGUUUUGAGACGAACUCUAGGCCUUUUACCUUGCCAAAUAUAUCUUGAUGA
Hypanus sabinus (Atlantic stingray) is the source of this 2880-nucleotide long non-coding RNA. RefSeq lists it as uncharacterized. The transcript is spliced from 3 exons. NCBI's taxonomy places the organism in Eukaryota, Metazoa, Chordata, Chondrichthyes, Myliobatiformes, Dasyatidae. The record is from RefSeq and is a predicted model, not a curated record.